UCCUUGAUGGUCUAGUGGUCAGGAUUCGGUGCUCUCACCGCAGCGGCCCGGGUUCGCAUCCCGGUCAGGGAA
Molecule: transfer RNA, 72 nt
Filed under: Danionella translucida
Lineage: Eukaryota; Metazoa; Chordata; Actinopteri; Cypriniformes; Danionidae
Also listed under: 1 other name
Rfam family: tRNA
About the family: Transfer RNA (tRNA) molecules are approximately 80 nucleotides in length. Their secondary structure includes four short double-helical elements and three loops (D, anti-codon, and T loops).
Source: Rfam by way of RNAcentral